AACCCAUGGUGAGGGCAUCUUCUCAAUAAAUCCUUAUACCUCUCUUAUGCACCAUAUAGAAUCUCUAAAUCCAUUUGCACGAAGGAGAGAUAUCACUCAUCAGCUU
RNAcentral lists this small nucleolar RNA (106 nucleotides) under Gossypium barbadense (sea-island cotton). RNAcentral describes it as "Plant small nucleolar RNA R71". It matches the Rfam family "Plant small nucleolar RNA R71". Rfam says of the family: R71 is a member of the C/D box family of snoRNAs containing the C (UGAUGA) and D (CUGA) box motifs. Lineage: Eukaryota; Viridiplantae; Streptophyta; Magnoliopsida; Malvales; Malvaceae. RNAcentral also lists the same sequence under 1 other name. The record is from Rfam by way of RNAcentral.